CCUACGGGUGGCAGCAGUGGGGAAUAUUGCACAAUGGGGGAAACCCUGAUGCAGCGACGCCGCGUGAGUGAAGAAGUAUCUCGGUACGUAAAGCUCUAUCAGCAGGGAAGAAAAUGACGGUACCUGACUAAGAAGCCCCGGCGAACUACGUGCCAGCAGCCGCGGUAAUACGUAGGGGGCAAGCGUUAUCAGGAUUUACUGGGUGUAAAGGGGGCGUAGACGGCAGCACAAGUCUGGAGUGAAAACCGGGGGGUUAACCCCGGAACUGCUUUGGAAACUGUGCGGCUGGAGUGCAGGAGGGGUAGGCGGAAUUCCUAGUGUAGCGGUGAAAUGCGUAGAUAUUAGGAGGAACACCGGUGGCGAAGGCGGCUUACUGGACUGUAACUGACGUUGAGGCUCGAAGGCGUGGGGAGCAAACAGGAGUAGAUACCCGGGUAGUC
This 440-nucleotide ribosomal RNA is filed under the name uncultured bacterium. Its description in RNAcentral is "partial 16S ribosomal RNA". It matches the Rfam family "Bacterial small subunit ribosomal RNA", at positions 338 to 795 of the family's 1533-position model. The record is from RNAcentral.